GGCCCGGUGGCAGAGUGGUUAUGCAGCGGUUUGCAAAACCGUGUACAUCGGUUCAAUUCCGGUUCGGGCCUCCA
RNAcentral lists this transfer RNA (74 nucleotides) under SAR116 cluster bacterium. Its description in RNAcentral is "tRNA-Cys". It matches the Rfam family "tRNA". Rfam says of the family: Transfer RNA (tRNA) molecules are approximately 80 nucleotides in length. Their secondary structure includes four short double-helical elements and three loops (D, anti-codon, and T loops). The record is from RNAcentral. Lineage: Bacteria; Pseudomonadati; Pseudomonadota; Alphaproteobacteria; Puniceispirillales (SeqCode).